This 303-nucleotide ribosomal RNA is filed under the name uncultured bacterium. RNAcentral's name for it is "partial 16S ribosomal RNA". It matches the Rfam family "Bacterial small subunit ribosomal RNA", at positions 507 to 807 of the family's 1533-position model. The record is from RNAcentral.
AGCAGUCGCCGCGGGAAUACGGAGGGUGCAAGCGUUAAUCGGAAUUACUGGGCGUAAAGCGUGCGUAGGCGGUGAGUUAAGUCUGCUGUGAAAUCCCCGGGCUCAACCUGGGAAUGGCAGUGGAUACUGGCUCGCUAGAGUGUGUCAGAGGAUGGUGGAAUUCCCGGUGUAGCGGUGAAAUGCGUAGAGAUCGGGAGGAACAUCAGUGGCGAAGGCGGCCAUCUGGGACAACACUGACGCUGAAGCACGAAAGCGUGGGGAGCAAACAGGAUUAGAUACCCCAGUAGUCCCUGUCUCUUAUAC